Long non-coding RNA from Mirounga angustirostris (Northern elephant seal), 905 nucleotides. RefSeq lists it as uncharacterized. The record is from RefSeq and is a predicted model, not a curated record. NCBI's taxonomy places the organism in Eukaryota, Metazoa, Chordata, Mammalia, Carnivora, Phocidae. The transcript has 3 exons.
CAAUGGACUUGGAGAUGUGACGUUGGCAAAGCCCUGGCCUUUCCCAGACUCAGUUUCCAUCUCCCCAUCUAUGGCUUCUGGGGCAGGGUUGAACCAGCCAGCGUUCACCAAAAUGCCCACCCAGCUGUGGAAAAGCAGCAGGUCACCUUCCCGAUGGAUCCCAGGUGGGCUGAUGUUGGACAACCUAGGAGGUCCGCUUGGAGUGAGAAGCCGCAGGAUGGGCUGGGGGACGGAGGGCAGCCCACCACGCCCGGGCUCUGUCCUGACGGCGUGGUCAUAGCCUCCCUGAAGACAGAGGGCCCCCCAUCGGAAGCACAGGCGUCCACCCUGUAACCGGCAACAGCCAUGAAUAUUCUGCUCUGAGCUAAAUACGAGAAAUGCGGAUGUUGAAAAUAGCCAUCCUGGAAGACUCUAAAUGAGAUGAUCAGCCUAUUUCUGGAGAGAGUCCUGCCCUGAACGGUGCUGAACCAAGCGCUGACGUGCAGGUUUCUCGGCAACAAGACAUGGGCCUGUUAAUGCGGUUCCCCAACCUGAAGGCCGGCAAGCCCAUCCCGAGGGGAAGGUUCAGCCGGGAAGUAGACGCUGUGCUCCGCAAGGGAAGAAAAUACACCAUGUAUGACUGUGAAUUUUUUAAUUUUACUGAGGCUCGUUUUCACGCUCAGGUAGGUGGUCUGUCUUCAUGAGGAAGCCAUAUGCCCUUCCAAGUGUCUGUCAGUUAGGUCACGUUGACCGAUGGUGCUGUUCAAGCCUUCUAUAGUUUUACUGAUUUGUCAGCCUGAGUGGUUUGUCCAAGAAAGAAAGAAGGAUGUUAAUUAAGUAUCUCCAACCGCAGGGCCCCAAACACUCCUCUCCAAAUAAUCCGAAGUAGCUAUGAAAUUUCUAUGCAAAACCACAGCCUUGGUGUU